AGAAAUUCUCACUACAGAUGAUCAACAUAUUGGAAAUACAAAAAGCGGGUUCCCAUAAGAAACGGAUGCUAACCAUAAUUACCUGGAAACGUCUAUCGUAACAGAUGUAACAUUUCCAGCCUCUUCUCAACAUAAGUAUCUGUGAAACUUUAGGGCUUGCCAUUCCAAGAUCAACUUCUGCAAAUGCAUCAGUGGAAUAAAUGAAUCGCCUGAAAAUGGAGCCAGCAUGCGAAAGCCUUCUGAAUGUCGUCUUCACCAGGAAAAUGUUGCCUGGUUAGGAAGGAACCAUUCGAAGUGCUAAAACAGGAUAGACUUUUCCAGAUGUGCCCAUGUCCAUUUGUAGAGUGACUCUUCUAUAUCCGACACAUAUUCGGCAGCAAUCUGGAUGAUAUGGAAACUUUUUCUCAUCAUGGUAUAGGAGAGAUAAGGGUAUAUACAAAUUUAAGCACAUACUGUUUAAUAUAAACUUGUUUUUCUGGAUAAAGACGUGCUAACCACCCAUGAAGUAAUGCAACUUUCGUGAUUCCACAUGUGUCUUGAAUUGACGGCAUUCUUGCUGAAUGUGGUGAAAUUCUCAAUAAAAACCAAUUUUGGUAACGCAUGUAUAUAGUUUCUGAAUUAUCUGAAGUAUAAUUAACAAUUUUAUUAAUUAUCAGAAAUAGCCAAAGCACCGUGGUAUCUUCAAAUAUUUUUCUAAUGAAAAAUUUAUCUUAAAUUAGGAAGCAACCAUUAUUACUUGGAAACGUCUAUCAAAGUAGAAGCAGAAUUUCCAGUUAUUUGUCAACAUAAGAAUAAGACUUAGCAAGUGUUGCUGAUAUUCUUCAGAAUCAUUGAGGGUCCUCAUUGACACCAAAAGUGAGACUGCCGUCUCGGUUCCCACACUUAUGAACUAACAUCUAUUGCGAUGUAUGUUGUAAAAUGCUCACUACAGAUGACAUUGAAAUACUGGAAAUUCAAGUAUCCUUUUAUUUCCUAUUUAUAAUAUUGAAAUCACAAAGAUGACAUUAUCUAACUAUUUUAUUUAAUUUUCCAGAAAACAUUUAACUUAAAGGAGGCAAGCCAUAAUUACUCGUAAACAUCUAUUACUGAUGCAGAAUUUCCAGCUAUUUCUGAAAAUAGAAAAGCAGAGGAAAUGAAGCGCAUGCCAUCCCGAGAUCAACUUUCGUGAGUAGAGGGACCGAAAAAAUCAAUCGCCAGAGAAUGGAACAAACUUGCGACUGCCUUUUGCAUGUCUCCUCGUCACAAGUAAAAUGUUGCCAUUCCAGAAGCCUCUCUUAAAGUGCAAAAAUAGAACAAGAAAUAUUUCCAGUGACUACUUCAGUUUUUGACAUUCUCUACCAGCAAUCUGGGGGAUAGAGAAACUUUUUUUUCUCAGAAUGGUAUCGUAGAGAUAACGAUAUAUAAAUGUUGGAGUACCUUCUGCUUAUAUUGAACGUCUUUUUCUGAAUCAAGACAUGUUAUCCAUCCAUGAAGUAAAGGCUUUCGUGAUACCAUAUAGCUUUGGAAUUGACGCCGUUUAUGCUGAAUGUGAAAGCAAGUUUUCUGAUGCCAUACAGAUGCAAACUACAUAUAAUUUAUAUGGAAGCUUCUAUUAAGACAGAAGCGUGCUUUCCAGCUAUUUCUCAACACAAGAAAGUGACCUGAAUGAUUCUGAAGCGAUAUCGGCAUGUUGCAAAAAUUUUGGUUUUGAUCUAUAGUCCUGAUCUGUUUCUGACUAAGGGCGUAUCACUCAUCACCAGAAGAUACUGCUUUCUUGGUUCCACACAUGCUCUGAACUGACAGCAACUAAUCUGGAUGCUAUGAAAUACUCGCUACUAAUAUCAAAACAUUGGAAAUCCAAGUAUACAUUCAACUUCUUAAUCAAAUUAAAUAGCAAGAACAUGGCAUUUUCUAAUCAUUUUUAUUCUUGUAGAAGGCAAAUUUCCAGUAAGCUGUAAGGAGGCAAACCACAAUCAUCUGUAAAUAUCUACCAAAAGAAGCAGCGUAUCCAGCUAUUUCUCAAUACGCGAAAUGGCGAAAUUGAUGCCAUUCCGAGAUCAACUUCUGCAACUAUAGUGUCUGAAGAAAUCGGUCGAUGGAGAAUGAAUCUACCGUGUGACAGCCUUCUGCAAGUCCUCCUCACUACUAAAAUGUUGUUCUGCUAGAAGCCUCUUCAGGUGCACUAACAGAAUGAGAAAUGUCGGGUGUCUGUUAAGAACACUCUUUCAUCGAAGUGAUCCUGGAAUAACAGACAAUACCUGGACCCUUCAUCAAGCGCAUAUUGGAGUGCGGAAGCUGCACAGUUCAAUUACGGACGAAGACUAUAUUUGAAUUUAUAUUAUCAAUAUGUUCACAAGCAAAUCUCGAAAAGAACUAAUUGACUCGAUGGAAGAAACGGAUAUUGUAAAUACAGCUACAUAACAAAUUUGUAACAAAACCUAGAUUUAAUUUUCGUGGUACCUUCCUCUAUAAAUUGCAUUUGAGAACAUAUUUAUUACCGAAUUUGCUAAGAAUUGUUUGACAUGACAGAUUGCCACUAUACAAUUUUAAAAAUCUUGAAUUUCAUUACUGUAAUCUUUUUAGCCAUUAUAUCGGCAGAAUUUCUUUCCAUUUACAAACCAAUUUUAUGAAUAAAACUGCACCACUUCGUUGUAACUGAAGCCAUUUCUUGACCUUGCUUAUUUCUAAAACUUCAUUUAGUAAUUUUGAAUGACGAUUAUUAAAGAAUCCUUCAUGUUCGAAUAAGUGUUUCAUUCCUGUAUCUAUAACGAAGUUUGUGUGGAUUGCUUUUGUGAGGAUUUUGAUCUCUGUAAUGCUAGUAUCAACUAUGUAAAGGAAUUUCUUUAAAUUUCCGUUAGUUAUCAAACUCGAAAACUUGAUAAUCAGAGCUUCAAUCUAAAAGUUCAGAAUUGUACAAAAUAUAAUAUGUGGCGUUUAAUAUGUACUUGUGUUUGAUUAAUGUAUGAAAUAUUCCUUAAAGGAAAAAAUGCUUCUGUAUUAUGUAUACGAGGUAGAAAGAUGCAUUGUUAACAAAUAUAUUGGUUUUUCUAAUCUUUUGAAAUGAGGUUGAAAGUAUUGCAGUUUUUCUCUAAAUUAAAUCUUGUAUUGGCAUACAUAAAAUAAUCCCGAGUUUUGAAAAAUAAUUCAAGUACAUAGAAGUAUUAUUAAUCGCAUUU
Long non-coding RNA from Argiope bruennichi, 3155 nucleotides. RefSeq lists it as uncharacterized. The transcript has 10 exons. The record is from RefSeq and is a predicted model, not a curated record. Lineage: Eukaryota; Metazoa; Arthropoda; Arachnida; Araneae; Araneidae.